Molecule: ribosomal RNA, 411 nt
Filed under: uncultured Gammaproteobacteria bacterium
Lineage: Bacteria; Pseudomonadati; Pseudomonadota; Gammaproteobacteria
Description: bacterial SSU rRNA
Rfam family: Bacterial small subunit ribosomal RNA
Source: RNAcentral
AAUGGGCGAAAGCCUGACGCAGCCACGCCGCGUGGAGGAAGACACCCUAUGGGGCGUAAACUCCUUUUAUAUGAGAAGAAUGCCUUGGUCGCCAAGGAGAGACGGUAUCAUAUGAAUAAGCCACCGGCUAACUCCGUGCCAGCAGCCGCGGUAAUACGGAGGGGGCAAAGCGUUGUCCGGAUUCACUGGGUGUAAAGGGUGUGCAGGCGGAGCAGCUAGUCAGUGGUGAAAGCCCGUAGCUUAACUAUGGAACUGCUAUUGAUACUACUGCUCUUGAGUAUUGGAGAGGCUACUAGAAUUCGUGGUGUAGCGGUGAAAUGCGUAGAUAUCACGAGGAAUACCAGAGGCGUAAGCGGGUAGCUGGACAAAUACUGACGCUGAGGCACGAAAGCGUGGGGAGCAAAUAGGAUU